CUUUUAGUUUUUAAAAUGUCUCGAUUCAUAAUAUUUUUGUUUUUGGCUCUAGUUGCUUGUACCGUGGCUGCCAAUGCACUACCACAAGAUUACAGGGUAGUUAGAGGAGUCACGCCUUGGGUUUUAACAAGUGGAUCUCGCAGAGUAGCUCGUGACCUAUCGAAGAGGGUACUUGCUACUAAUAUUGGAUAGUAUUAUUACGUUAUUCCGAAUUCAUCCCAUUACAAGUCAUCCCAUCCGAAAAUAUUCAAGUAAUAUUUUUUUAAUGGCAUAUUCAUAAUCACCAAACAAAAUGUACCUAGAAUUCAAAAUGAAAAAGUUGAGUAAUAGGGAUGACGCGAAUGAAGGAUAACCUAUCAUGUUUAUUAAGACUCAACGUUUUAUAAAUUUGCUUAAUAAAAUGUUUAAAAAAUGAAUAUUUAAA
Long non-coding RNA from Plodia interpunctella (Indianmeal moth), 424 nucleotides. RefSeq lists it as uncharacterized. NCBI's taxonomy places the organism in Eukaryota, Metazoa, Arthropoda, Insecta, Lepidoptera, Pyralidae. The transcript is spliced from 3 exons. The record is from RefSeq and is a predicted model, not a curated record.